UUAGAGGAAGUAAAAGUCGUAACAAGUUUCGUAGGUGAACUGCGGAAGGAUCAUUACCGAGUGAGGGCCCUCUGGGUCCAACCUCCCACCCGUGUUUAUUUUACCUUGUUGCUUCGGCGGGCCCGCCUUAACUGGCCGCCGGGGGGCUUACGCCCCCGGGCCCGCGCCCGCCGAAGACACCCUCGAACUCUGUCUGAAGAUUGAAGUCUGAGUGAAAAUAUAAAUUAUUUAAAACUUUCAACAACGGAUCUCUUGGUUCCGGCAUCGAUGAAGAACGCAGCGAAAUGCGAUACGUAAUGUGAAUUGCAAAUUCAGUGAAUCAUCGAGUCUUUGAACGCACAUUGCGCCCCCUGGUAUUCCGGGGGGCAUGCCUGUCCGAGCGUCAUUGCUGCCCUCAAGCCCGGCUUGUGUGUUGGGCCCCGUCCCCCGAUCUCCGGGGGACGGGCCCGAAAGGCAGCGGCGGCACCGCGUCCGGUCCUCGAGCGUAUGGGGCUUUGUCACCCGCUCUGUAGGCCCGGCCGGCGCUUGCCGAUCAACCCAAAUUUUUAUCCAGGUUGACCUCGGAUCAGGUAGGGAUACCCGCUGAACUUAAGCAUA
Molecule: ribosomal RNA, 597 nt
Filed under: Penicillium sp. 08CT04
Lineage: Eukaryota; Fungi; Ascomycota; Eurotiomycetes; Eurotiales; Aspergillaceae
Description: eukaryotic LSU rRNA
Rfam family: 5.8S ribosomal RNA (bases 233-385)
Source: RNAcentral